CAGAAACUAAAAUUUUAUUAAUUAGCAAGAUACAAACUCAUGCACAUAAUCGAGUGGAGCACUCACAAGUCACACUGGAAGUGUCUUCCACUCUCACAUAACUACACUGCAAGAACAUAUUGGAAUUAAUUGAAACUAUUACUAUAUAAUUAAACAAUAGUCAUUUUUGGAAUUUUUUUUUUUUUUUAAUAUUUCUCACGCAGGAACGAGCAAUGCAAAUUUCUUAUUAUCUUAAGAAGGUCACAAAGGUUCCACAUGUGAUUACUCAGUAUCCUCUUUAAGGAUGACCUCCUUAAUGAAUCUAUCAAAGUUGCUAUAAGAUACUCCUCCAACACUGGUAGCAGCUUCUGCUUUCUCUCUCCAUUCCACAGCCCUUCUCCUCAUUUCUCUUCCUCUCUCUUUUUCCAUCAUUUCCUUGAUGACACUCACAAGUUCGUCUCUACUUAAAUCAGUACUCAGCUGCAUCCCAGUCUUCCACACAUCGCAUGCGUAUUUGCAAUUUGUUUGUUGCUCGGCAAAGAAAGGCCAGCAGAUCAUAGGCUUACCACCAGAAACACAUUCCAUGGUUGAAUUCCAUCCACAAUGUGAGAGGAAAACACCGACUGAUGGGUGUUGAAGAACACGAUCUUGCGGUACCCAACUUACCAGCAAUCCUCUGUCCUUUACUUCCUCGUAAAACUCCUCAGGCAACACUGCAGAUUCACCCAUCACAACAUCAGGCCUAACAAUCCAUAAAAAUGGAUGCUUGCUAUUUGCCAGACCCCAGGCAAAUUCAUUCAGCUGUUUGUCUGUUAUUGUAGUAACACAGCCAUAGUUUACAUACACAACUGAGUCUGGAUCCCUUUUGUAAAGCCACUCUAGACAGCUUAAAUCCUCUUUCCAUAAGCUGGAUCUAAAUGCCUUGGACCUGCCCUCUGGUAUGCCCUUCUCAAGCAAGGUAAAGGGGCCUAUGGUAUAAAUCUUGGAAUGAAAUCUGGCUUUAAUGGCAUCUAGCACUUCUUGUUCAAACUCAUCGAAUGUGUUGAAAAUAAUUGCAUCAGCUUUCAAAGUCUUGUGUGAUUCUACUGCCAUAAAAUCGAACAUUAUGUCUUUCACAUCAGUGACUCUGAUAAAGCUAGGCAUGUCCCUCAGUUUCAGAGUAGGCAUUCCAGGAAGCCAAUCAAUUGUUUGAUCAAGAGUGCCAUCAUGCAAGAAACUUUCAUCUUUGAAUGGGACGAUGCCUCUUCUGACGAGCUCAAAAUGAUGGAGAUAAGCCAUGAAGCCUGAAGCUGAGGUGGUCUGAAAUUGGAUCUCUGGUAUGCCAAAAUGCUGAGCAGCAUCAACGGCAAAGGCCAUCACUCCAUCUGAGAUUAUGCAAGUAAUUGGAGGCACAUCAGGGGUUUCUUUUAGCUUGGCAAUUAGCUCAAUGAAAGGAGCCAAGCAAUGCUUUCGGGUUGAAUCACUGAGUGAUGGGACAUGUUGGGUGGCGUCACGAUCAGUAUAUGGCAAGCCAUCUGGGAUAGCUUCAAACUUGAAAUCUGGAAGGCCGUCAAUGAAUUCCUGACCUCUGCUGCGAAUUAAGCGUCUAUGAUUAUGCUCAGUGUUCACAAAAGUGAUGUAAAAGCCUCGUGAGUGCAAGAGCUUGCCAAGCUGCAUUAAGGGAUUCACAUGCCCUUGUGCAGGGUAUGGGACAAGAAUUGCAUGAGGUUGAGGCUUUUGGGAUGAGAUUGAACCCAUUUUAUCAAAUCAAGGAAAAUCAAGUAUAAGGACUUGAAGGUUUGGU
RNAcentral lists this unclassified non-coding RNA (1762 nucleotides) under Hevea brasiliensis (rubber tree). Lineage: Eukaryota; Viridiplantae; Streptophyta; Magnoliopsida; Malpighiales; Euphorbiaceae. The record is from RNAcentral.